ACGUUUCAUAACGUAAAGAUUUUUCUCCGUGUGUCGUCGUGUCGGCUUCGGUCGCGCACGCACACACGAAAAAAUUAAAGGAAAGUCCGAGGGAUACUCUCAGACGCAUUACGGCCUAGGGGGUGGUGCCCCGAACGCCGGUAAAAAAAAGAUUCGCAUGCGUUCGUGUGUUUUGGGCUUGGAGACUGCCACUCUGCCCUCUGCUUCGGCAGGCACCGUGCGCUCGGAUGAAAAGCGGUACCGUCUGUGUUGCAGUCAGGGUUUCCUGCACUCAGAACGCCGCGCGACGAAAGUCAGUAGCCGAUGCACAGUGCGAGUCUAGGGUUCGGCUCGCGUGCUUCGUGUCUUCUGUUCCGGGCUCGCGUCGGCGGAAUGGUCUAAAGUCAGUUUUUUUGUCUGCGCCGCUCACCACGGUCCAUACUCGACGGUCUACUCCAAAGGACGGGCUCGCAACCCGUCUGGACCGGCGAGGAAGGGUCGUUGUUACUGAGGUCCCGGAGAGUUAAGAGAUGCACCUGUAGGCAUGGCGCUGGCGUGCUCUCGAAAAAAAUAAAGACGGUGGCGGACCCCGUACGCUCGCAGGUCAGUCGGAAAAGCUCUGAACUUCCACUCCCUCUUCUGGGAGGGAUAACCUGAGUUAGUACUUUCAGACCGAGUACGUGUCCGUCCCCGCCUCUCACCGGGACUUCGAGUUCACUGUCGUGAAUCUCAAAAACAGAAAAAAACUACUCGGAAGUCCCCCCUAAAAAGUGAGAUGUUUAGGCGAACGGUGGCUAGUAGUCAAUGCUCUUGCGAGCUUUUGCGAACGUCUCCCAGUAGCUUACGUCAAACGUAAAGC
Molecule: unclassified non-coding RNA, 838 nt
Filed under: Megalurothrips usitatus (bean blossom thrips)
Lineage: Eukaryota; Metazoa; Arthropoda; Insecta; Thysanoptera; Thripidae
Source: RNAcentral